CCCUUAGAUGUUCUGGGCCGCACGCGCGCUACACUGACGAUGGCAACGAGUUUUUCCUUCGCCGAAAGGUGUGGGUAAUCUUUUGAAACAUCGUCGUGCUGGGGAUAGAUCAUUGCAAUUUUUGAUCUUGAACGAGGAAUUCCUAGUAAGCGCGAGUCAUCAGCUCGCGUUGAUUACGUCCCUGCCCUUUGUACACACCGCCCGUCGCUACUACCGAUUGAAUGGUUUAGUGAGGACUCCUGAUUGGCGCCGCCGCCCCGGCAACGGAGCAGCGGCCUGCCGAAAAGUUGUUCAAACUUGAUCAUUUAGAGGAAGUAAAAGUCGUAACA
RNAcentral lists this ribosomal RNA (329 nucleotides) under uncultured eukaryote. RNAcentral describes it as "partial 18S ribosomal RNA". It matches the Rfam family "Eukaryotic small subunit ribosomal RNA", at positions 1470 to 1796 of the family's 1831-position model. The record is from RNAcentral.